Molecule: ribosomal RNA, 255 nt
Filed under: uncultured bacterium
Lineage: Bacteria
Description: partial 16S ribosomal RNA
Rfam family: Bacterial small subunit ribosomal RNA
Source: RNAcentral
UACAGAGGGUGCGAGCGUUGUUCGGAAUUAUUGGGCGUAAAGGGCGCGUAGGCGGUGCGGUAAGUCACCUGUGAAAUCUCCUGGCUCAACUGGGAGCUUGCAGGCGAAACUGCCGUGCUGGAGUGUGGGAGAGGUGCGUGGAAUUCCUGGUGUAGCGGUGAAAUGCGUAGAUAUCAGGAGGAACACCUGUGGCGAAAGCGGCGCACUGGACCACAACUGACGCUGAGGCGCGAAAGCUAGGGGGAGCAAAACAGG